Melanomma pulvis-pyrius CBS 109.77 is the source of this 85-nucleotide non-coding RNA. Lineage: Eukaryota; Fungi; Ascomycota; Dothideomycetes; Pleosporales; Melanommataceae. The record is from the annotation of a GenBank genome assembly.
GGUCGGUUAGCUUAGUCGGUAGAGCGUGAUGCUAAUAGCUUAUGCUGUAACGUCAAGGUCGCGAGUUCGAUCCUCGUACUGACCA